This 305-nucleotide ribosomal RNA is filed under the name uncultured bacterium. RNAcentral's name for it is "bacterial SSU rRNA". It matches the Rfam family "Bacterial small subunit ribosomal RNA", at positions 337 to 659 of the family's 1533-position model. The record is from RNAcentral.
UCCUACGGGGGGCAGCAGUGGGGAAUAUUGCACAAUGGGGGAAACCCUGAUGCAGCGACGCCGCGUGAGUGAAGAAGUAUUUCGGUAUGUAAAGCUCUGUCAGCAGGGAAGAAAAUGACGGUACCUGACCAAGAAGCCCCGGCUAACUACGUGACAGCAGCCGCGGUAAUACGUAGGGGGCAAGGGUUAUCCGGAUUUACUGGGUGUAAAGGGAGCGUAGACGGCAGGGCAAGUCUGGAGUGAAAGCCCGGGGCCCAACCCCGGGACUGCUCUUGGAACUGCGUGGCUAGAGUGCAGGAGGGGCG